This 459-nucleotide ribosomal RNA is filed under the name uncultured bacterium. RNAcentral's name for it is "partial 16S ribosomal RNA". It matches the Rfam family "Bacterial small subunit ribosomal RNA", at positions 338 to 795 of the family's 1533-position model. The record is from RNAcentral.
CCUACGGGUGGCAGCAGUGAGGAAUAUUGGUCAAUGGGCGCGAGCCUGAACCAGCCAAGUCGCGUGAGGGAAGACGGUCCUAUGGAUUGUAAACCUCUUUUGCCGGGGAGCGAAAGACGCCACGCGUGGCGUUCCGAGAGUACCCGAAGAAAAAGCAUCGGCUAACUUCGUGCCAGCAGGCGCGGUCAUACGGAGGAUGCGAGCGUUAGCCGGAUGUAUUGGGUGUAAAGGGAGCGCAGGCGGAAGAUCAAGUCAGCGGUAAAAUUGAGAGGCUCAACCUCUUCGAGCCGUUGAAACUGGUUUUCUUGAGUGAGCGAGAAGUAUGCGGAAUGCGUGGUGUAGCGGUGAAAUGCAUAGAUAUCACGCAGAACUCCGAUUGCGAAGGCAGCAUACCGGCGCUCAACUGACGCUGAUGCACGAAAGUGUGGGUAUCGAACAGGAUUAGAUACCCCUGUAGUC